AAAUUCAAACAGACAAAAAGCGUUUUGUUUUAUGAGUCUUUAGUUGGGCGAUUGAAAAAUUUUGAAAACAAUUUUAUUUUCAGAAUCAACGUGGUCCGGUAAACAACCCUCAAAAAAGAAAUAAAUAACGGCAAACGAGUAACUAGAUUUUGAAUUGGAUUUCCGAUCAAUACGUGGCGGUUUGCAAAAAAAAAAAAAAAAAAAAAAAAUGAAAAUAAAAAUGAAAUAAAAGUGAUUUGAGAAAAUAAUAAAACUUAAAUAAAAUAGAUUUAAAUGUGAAAUAAAAUUUAUAUUUUUUUAAAAAUAAAAAAAGGAGUGGAUAAAAAAAAAAUAAAAAUUUAAAAAAAAAUAUUAAAACAAAUACACAUGAAAUUUGAAAAUUAAAAAGAUAUUCCAAGUGAAGUGCAAAAUAUUUCAAUUAUCAGACUCCUCGUUGUGUCUGACCCUCUUCAAUUGUUAAAUGUUGUUAAGAAUUUUGCAAUAAAUAUUUUUUCCUUUCUUAUCUUUUGAAAAUUAGUUUAAAUUGUUGAUAUCUAUAUUUGAAAAAUACACAACAAAAAAUAGAUUUACCCAAAGAAUUCAAUUUUUUUGAAAAGCGCCAAGCAAAUAGAAUUGUUGAUCGUGUAAAGUGUUGAGUUUUGAAUGAGCCCAAUGAGUGGUCUACGUCAUCAGCUAAAGAUGCUGGGCACAGCAUUGCUGGGGAAGCGCACACCAAAGUCUGUGAAAAAGAAACCCUUUACAGAUGUUGAAUUAUCAGGUAAGUUAAUCUACAAAAAAUAAUUUACAUACGCUAUAAAUAAUGGAUUAAACGUUAAAAUCCUUCGAAUGAAAGUGGUUUUUAGCCAAAAUGAAUAAUUUAUAGAAAAAUCUCUUUGAAUUGAAGCGAUUUUCGGUGGCACAAGGUGUGAACACCAAAUUACAUUUCAAGAAGUAAUUAAUGGUAAUCGACUUAGGCAAAGCUGGUUCGCCAUGCAACAAAGUGAAGGUUGUGAAAUUACUAAAAUACGAGAAGGUGUAAAACUGUUUUGUGGCAAAAAAAAACCUGAAGAAGUCAAGGAUCACCUAUGAAUAACCCAGGGAACAUUUGUUUUAUGUUUUGUAUUUUAGAGGAUAAAUAUUUAAUUUAAUCCCCCAUAGUUAUGUUUUUUAUUAUACCAGUCCAGAAAUGAAUAUUAAUUCUUCAAUUUAAAUAUUUUUUACUUUGACAAAUAUUCGAUUUUUGCAUUUCCAUAAUGUUGAGGGCAAUCCAUGACUUUCAAUACAAAUUUAUAACUGAAGUAUAGAUGGCGUUUGUUAAGUAAGUCAAAAUAAAUAUAUAAAAAAUGUAAGGGGUAUAACCUUGUCUAUGUUUCCUGGUAAAGCCUACCUAGUGCCAUUGUGGUAGUGUUUUUUAUUAAAAGCUCAUACACCAAUGAUCUAUGUAUGAGUACAAAAUCAUUAAUGUUUAGAGGGCGCUUUUUAUGAUUUAUAUGAUUAUAAUUUCUCUCAUAAUAUUUGAAUAUUUUGUAGUUAAAAUUUUCCCAAAAAAAAUUAUUUCUAAAACUUCACUUAAAAUGAUCGUAUGACCAAUAGAAAAGUAUCCGAAAUAUUGCACAUGCAGUGGCCAGAUGUUCUUUAAAAAAAAUAUUCUAAGAAAUACACAGAUAGUUCUUCAAAGAAAGAAUUUAAUGUAGGAAUUGAAAUAAAGAGGGCGUUGUUCGUUGAAUUUAUCACUGAGGGUUUGAGGGAAUUAUCACUGGGUAAAAUCGCCGGAUUUUUACUUCUUACUAUAAAGUAAUAAUCGCUGUAUCAGUUUUUAUUAGUUCACAGAGCAUAAAAUUACGAAAAACAUAAAUUUACUGUUGGAAUUGAAAUAAAGACGGCGUUGUUUGUUGCACUUACUACUGGAGAUUUGGGAGGAAAUCCUGGGUGAAAUCACCGGAUUUCAACUUCUAACGAUAAAGUAAUGAUCGCUAUAGCAGUUUUUAUUGGUUCAUAUAACCUUAAGGUAUAGAAAAUAUAAAUUUCCUGUUGAAAUUGAAGGAAAGAGGGCGUUGUUCGUUGCAUUUAUCACUGAGGUAUUGAAGAAGAGAGAUAAUUUUAAUUUUAUUUCUGUUUCAAGACAGUUUGACCCCUACGAUAUAUCUAUGAUUAAUAUCUAAUUUUUUAUUAGUUCACAAGGCUUAAAGGUGUCCAAGAUUGAAGUUUCCUUU
Musca domestica (house fly) is the source of this 2192-nucleotide RNA transcript. RefSeq lists it as uncharacterized. NCBI's taxonomy places the organism in Eukaryota, Metazoa, Arthropoda, Insecta, Diptera, Muscidae. The transcript has 3 exons. The record is from RefSeq and is a predicted model, not a curated record.